Molecule: non-coding RNA, 96 nt
Filed under: Kocuria marina
Lineage: Bacteria; Bacillati; Actinomycetota; Actinomycetes; Micrococcales; Micrococcaceae
Description: TPP sequence
Rfam family: TPP riboswitch aptamer (THI element)
About the family: Vitamin B(1) in its active form thiamin pyrophosphate (TPP) is an essential coenzyme that is synthesised by coupling of pyrimidine and thiazole moieties in bacteria.
Source: RNAcentral
GGCACACACACGGGGUGCCGCGCACUGCGGCUGAGAACACACCCGUCGAACCUGAUCUAGCUCGUACUAGCGAAGGGAUUGUCGUGGACACCACGC